RNAcentral lists this ribosomal RNA (502 nucleotides) under uncultured bacterium. RNAcentral's name for it is "bacterial SSU rRNA". It matches the Rfam family "Bacterial small subunit ribosomal RNA", at positions 791 to 1290 of the family's 1533-position model. The record is from RNAcentral.
UAGUCCACGCCGUAAACGAUGAGCACUAGGUUUUGGGGGUAUUGAUCCCUUCAGAACCACAGCUAACGCAUUAAGUGCUCCGCCUGGGGAGUACGGUCGCAAGACUAAAACUCAAAGGAAUUGACGGGGGCCCGCACAAGCGGUGGAUUAUGUGGUUUAAUUCGAAGCAACGCGCAGAACCUUACCUGGGCUUGAACUCCUGAGAAGUCGGAGUAAUGUCUGAUGUGCCCUUCGGGGAACUCAGUGAGAGGUGCUGCAUGGCUGUCGUCAGCUCGUGUUGUGAAAUGUUGGGUUAAGUCUCGCAACGAGCGCAACCCCCAUUGUUAGUUGCCAGCACGUAAAGGUGGGGACUCUAACAAGACUGCCCGCGUAAGCGGAGAGGAAGGUGGGGAUGACGUCGAAUCAUCAUGGCCUUUAUGCCCAGGGCGACACACGUGCUACAAUGGUGCAUCAAAGGUAGCCAAGCCGCGAGGUGGAGCGUAAUCCCAUAAAGUGCAUCCCG